RNAcentral lists this ribosomal RNA (534 nucleotides) under Gleimia europaea. RNAcentral describes it as "bacterial SSU rRNA". It matches the Rfam family "Bacterial small subunit ribosomal RNA", at positions 28 to 555 of the family's 1533-position model. The record is from RNAcentral. Lineage: Bacteria; Bacillati; Actinomycetota; Actinomycetes; Actinomycetales; Actinomycetaceae.
GACGAACGCUGGCGGCGUGCUUAACACAUGCAAGUCGAACGGGAUCCAAGGGCUUUUUGUUUUUGGUGAGAGUGGCGAACGGGUGAGUAACACGUGAGUAACCUGCCCCCUUCUUUUGGAUAACCGCAUGAAAGUGUGGCUAAUACAGGAUAGUCCAGGCUGGUCGCAUGAUUGGUUUGGGAAAUGGUUUGGUCUGGUGGGGGAUGGGCUCGCGGCCUAUCAGCUUGUUGGUGGGGUGAUGGCCUACCAAGGCGGUGACGGGUAGCCGGCCUGAGAGGGUGGGCGGUCACACUGGGACUGAGAUACGGCCCAGACUCCUACGGGAGGCAGCAGUGGGGGAUUUUGCACAAUGGGCGCAAGCCUGAUGCAGCGACGCCGCGUGAGGGAUGGAGGCCUUCGGGUUGUGAACCUCUUUCGCUGGGUUGAAAGGCCAUGCUUUGGGUGUGGUUGAUUUGAACUGGUAAAGAAGUACCGGCUAACUACGUGCCAGCAGCCGCGGUAAUACGUAGGGUACUAGCGUUGUCCGGAUUUAUU